RNAcentral lists this ribosomal RNA (306 nucleotides) under Triticum aestivum (bread wheat). RNAcentral describes it as "partial small subunit ribosomal RNA". Lineage: Eukaryota; Viridiplantae; Streptophyta; Magnoliopsida; Poales; Poaceae. The record is from RNAcentral.
AUGGAUCUAGUCUCCGUACAGGCAGGAUUAACUUCUACGGGAGAUGGUGCAUUGGCAGAGAAUUUCCCCAACCCCAACCAAGGGGAGAGGGUGUGCUUCAUCUCGUUCCUUCUGAGGGGCGUAGGAUUCCCGAUCCACCCCUUCCUCAGGGGUCUACUGGAAUAUUACGGGAUCCAGCUACACAACCUCACACCAGGUUCCAUUCUGCAUAUUUCUGGUUUUGUCGCCCUUUGCGAAUUAUUUUUAGGUUGUGAGGCUCAUUUUGAACUAUGGAAAAAGUUCGUUUGCCUUGUCCCCCACCACUAG